CAUUAACUGAAUCCAUAGGUUAAUGAGGCGAACCGGGGGAACUGAAACAUCUAAGUACCCCGAGGAAAAGAAAUCAACCGAGAUUCCCCCAGUAGCGGCGAGCGAACGGGGAGGAGCCCAGAGCCUGAAUCAGUGUGUGUGUUAGUGGAAGCGUCUGGAAAGGCGCGCGAUACAGGGUGACAGCCCCGUACACAAAAAUGCACAUAUUGUGAGCUCGAUGAGUAGGGCGGGACACGUGGUAUCCUGUCUGAAUAUGGGGGGACCAUCCUCCAAGGCUAAAUACUCCUGACUGACCGAUAGUGAACCAGUACCGUGAGGGAAAGGCGAAAAGAACCCCGGCGAGGGGAGUGAAAAAGAACCUGAAACCGUGUACGUACAAGCAGUGGGAGCCUCUUAAUGGGGUGACUGCGUACCUUUUGUAUAAUGGGUCAGCGACUUAUAUUCUGUAGCAAGGUUAACCGAAUAGGGGAGCCGAAGGGAAACCGAGUCUUAACUGGGCGUUAAGUUGCAGGGUAUAGACCCGAAACCCGGUGAUCUAGCCAUGGGCAGGUUGAAGGUUGGGUAACACUAACUGGAGGACCGAACCGACUAAUGUUGAAAAAUUAGCGGAUGACUUGUGGCUGGGGGUGAAAGGCCAAUCAAACCGGGAGAUAGCUGGUUCUCCCCGAAAGCUAUUUAGGUAGCGCCUCGUGAAUUCAUCUCCGGGGGUAGAGCACUGUUUCGGCAAGGGGGUCAUCCCGACUUACCAACCCGAUGCAAACUGCGAAUACCGGAGAAUGUUAUCACGGGAGACACACGGCGGGUGCUAACGUCCGUCGUGAAGAGGGAAACAACCCAGACCGCCAGCUAAGGUCCCAAAGUCAUGGUUAAGUGGGAAACGAUGUGGGAAGGCCCAGACAGCCAGGAUGUUGGCUUAGAAGCAGCCAUCAUUUAAAGAAAGCGUAAUAGCUCACUGGUCGAGUCGGCCUGCGCGGAAGAUGUAACGGGGCUAAACCAUGCACCGAAGCUGCGGCAGCGACACUAUGUGUUGUUGGGUAGGGGAGCGUUCUGUAAGCCUGUGAAGGUGUACUGUGAGGUAUGCUGGAGGUAUCAGAAGUGCGAAUGCUGACAUAAGUAACGAUAAAGCGGGUGAAAAGCCCGCUCGCCGGAAGACCAAGGGUUCCUGUCCAACGUUAAUCGGGGCAGGGUGAGUCGACCCCUAAGGCGAGGCCGAAAGGCGUAGUCGAUGGGAAACAGGUUAAUAUUCCUGUACUUGGUGUUACUGCGAAGGGGGGACGGAGAAGGCUAUGUUGGCCGGGCGACGGUUGUCCCGGUUUAAGCGUGUAGGCUGGUUUUCCAGGCAAAUCCGGAAAAUCAAGGCUGAGGCGUGAUGACGAGGCACUACGGUGCUGAAGCGACAAAUGCCCUGCUUCCAGGAAAAGCCUCUAAGCAUCAGGUAACAUCAAAUCGUACCCCAAACCGACACAGGUGGUCAGGUAGAGAAUACCAAGGCGCUUGAGAGAACUCGGGUGAAGGAACUAGGCAAAAUGGUGCCGUAACUUCGGGAGAAGGCACGCUGAUAUGUAGGUGAAGCGACUUGCUCGUGGAGCUGAAAUCAGUCGAAGAUACCAGCUGGCUGCAACUGUUUAUUAAAAACACAGCACUGUGCAAACACGAAAGUGGACGUAUACGGUGUGACGCCUGCCCGGUGCCGGAAGGUUAAUUGAUGGGGUUAGCGGUAACGCGAAGCUCUUGAUCGAAGCCCCGGUAAACGGCGGCCGUAACUAUAACGGUCCUAAGGUAGCGAAAUUCCUUGUCGGGUAAGUUCCGACCUGCACGAAUGGCGUAAUGAUGGCCAGGCUGUCUCCACCCGAGACUCAGUGAAAUUGAACUCGCUGUGAAGAUGCAGUGUACCCGCGGCAAGACGGAAAGACCCCGUGAACCUUUACUAUAGCUUGACACUGAACAUUGAGCCUUGAUGUGUAGGAUAGGUGGGAGGCUUUGAAGUGUGGACGCCAGUCUGCAUGGAGCCGACCUUGAAAUACCACCCUUUAAUGUUUGAUGUUCUAACGUGGGCCCCUUACCGGGGUUGCGGACAGUGUCUGGUGGGUAGUUUGACUGGGGCGGUCUCCUCCUAAAGAGUAACGGAGGAGCACGAAGGUUGGCUAAUCCUGGUCGGACAUCAGGAGGUUAGUGCAAUGGCAUAAGCCAGCUUGACUGCGAGCGUGACGGCGCGAGCAGGUGCGAAAGCAGGUCAUAGUGAUCCGGUGGUUCUGAAUGGAAGGGCCAUCGCUCAACGGAUAAAAGGUACUCCGGGGAUAACAGGCUGAUACCGCCCAAGAGUUCAUAUCGACGGCGGUGUUUGGCACCUCGAUGUCGGCUCAUCACAUCCUGGGGCUGAAGUAGGUCCCAAGGGUAUGGCUGUUCGCCAUUUAAAGUGGUACGCGAGCUGGGUUUAGAACGUCGUGAGACAGUUCGGUCCCUAUCUGCCGUGGGCGCUGGAGAACUGAGGGGGGCUGCUCCUAGUACGAGAGGACCGGAGUGGACGCAUCACUGGUGUUCGGGUUGUCAUGCCAAUGGCACUGCCCGGUAGCUAAAUGCGGAAGAGAUAAGUGCUGAAAGCAUCUAAGCACGAAACUUGCCCCGAGAUGAGUUCUCCCUGACUCCUUGAGAGUCCUGAAGGAACGUUGAAGACGACGACGUUGAUAGGCCGGGUGUGUAAGCGCAGCGAUGCGUUGAGCUAACCGGUACUAAUGAACCGUGAGGCUUAACCUU
This 2754-nucleotide ribosomal RNA is filed under the name Escherichia coli. Its description in RNAcentral is "partial 23S ribosomal RNA". It matches the Rfam family "Bacterial large subunit ribosomal RNA". Lineage: Bacteria; Pseudomonadati; Pseudomonadota; Gammaproteobacteria; Enterobacterales; Enterobacteriaceae. The record is from RNAcentral.